RNAcentral lists this ribosomal RNA (452 nucleotides) under uncultured bacterium. Its description in RNAcentral is "bacterial SSU rRNA". It matches the Rfam family "Bacterial small subunit ribosomal RNA", at positions 354 to 796 of the family's 1533-position model. The record is from RNAcentral.
GUCGAGAAUCUUUCGCAAUGCCCGAAAGGGUGACGAAGCGACGCCGCGUGCGGGAAGAAGGCCUUCGGGUUGUAAACCGCUGUCGGGAGUUAGGAAAUGCAAGGAUGUUAAUAGCAUCUUUGCUUGACUAAGGCUCCGGAGGAAGCCACGGCUAACUCUGUGCCAGCAGCCGCGGUAAUACAGAGGCGGCAAGCGUUGUUCGGAAUUAUUGGGCGUAAAGAGCACGUAGGCGGCCGUGUAAGUCGGUUGUGAAAGCCUUCCGCUCAACGGGAGAACGGCAUCCGAUACUGCAUGGCUCGAGUGCGGGAGGGGAGAGUGGAACUUCUGGUGGAGCGGUGAAAUGCGUAGAUAUCAGAAGGAACACCGGCGGCGAAGGCGACUCUCUGGCCCGUAACUGACGCUGAGUGUGCGAAAGCUAGGGGAGCAAACGGGAUUAGAUACCCUAGUAGUCC